UCUGAGAGUAUAACAUAGAAAUAGGUUCGACAGGCUUUGGUUCUCAAGUGCUGUGAGACUGAAGAUAUAGGCAGUUGUAUCCUGGGAUUCUUAAACGUAUCAAACCGGCACACUACGGGCGUUUAAAGGAUUAAGGAAAGAGAUCUAAUCUCGACUCUGCUUCAACCUAGUUCUUUUUCAACUUUGGUAUUAUAUUAUUAUAUUUUUAUUCAUGUUAUUUGUAAAUUUUUUGCUUUACAUAUCAAAUUUGCCUAUCUAGUAAAUUUGGUGCCUACAGUCUUAAUCCUUUAAAAUUUCAUAUUGCCUUGUUGCGCUAAUGAAAUAUUUGAUUGUGAAGCAAUUACAUUUAACGGUGCCGUGGAGAAAGCUUAACGCUUUGGAUAUGCUUUGAUUUAACAACUCUGUUUUGCAGGACAUGAGCGUUUUGCAUAUUAUAUUCUUAAUAUUAUUUUCUGCAGAAUUUGAUUCGUUUAUUGUUCUCCGCUCGUGAUUCUAAUGUUUUAGUUAAUUUGCUCAUGCAUUCGUUCUGUUACCGUAUUGAUUUAUUACGUCUGCUGCUGUUAUUUCAAACAAAUUUUCAUUAGAUAAUAGUUCAUCUAUAGAAAAUGAUUUGGUUGGUAAUCGUUUAGUUGACUUGUUCAAUAGUUCAUAUUGUUUAUGUUUAUUGGUUAAGCAGAUUUGUUAGAUUCAUUAUUUUCCUUGCACGAACUUUUUAGUCUCGUCUGCGGGAUUAUAUAAUUUUUUUUUUCUUCCUAUUUACCUUCAAUCUUUAUUUUGGUUAAGGUUUUUUGGAAAGAAGGAAAAAAAAAAACAGAAAUCGAUUUGUUCUUUAAUUAAAUUAAAACUGCAUCGGUUUAGAAUCAUGGUUUGAUUAAUAAUAGGGAAUUUCUUACCGUUCUUGUCGAAUUGAUGUAUACGGUUUAUUUGAAUUUAUAAUCGAAUCUGUUGACCUGCUGCUACUCGUUAAAAUAUGGAAAUAUGAUUUAAAUAUUCAAUUGUUUUUAACGUUAGUGAGCUUGAUUAGUUUGACUAGUAAAUUUGUUUCAAUCCGGUUGAUAAUUGCUAGAUUCAUUUUAAUAUUUUUUAUAACGUUUUCUAUUUAUUAGAAAGAAUAUUGAUAAACGUUAAUGUCGCUUGAUUCUCGUAACUGAUUAUGUUUUAAUAUUGUCUUUGCAUUUACCGGAUAGUACCGUUUCAGUUUUAAUACUGAUCUACUAUUAAUAUAUUUAUUCUCAUAAUUUAUAUAUUGCAACUGAACUUCUAUUUAUUGGUUUUAAAAUUAGUAUAUUAAUUCAUUUUGUUUUUGUAAACAGAUUUGAAUUCAAUAUGACUAACGACAACCAAACUUCGAUCGAUGGGCAAAACAAAAGUGCGAUCGAUGCUGCAACCGUUGGUGGUGGAAAUGGUUCAAGUGAGUCGAUGCUCCAAACUCAGUUUGGAAGUGGUCUUCCACAUGGAAACCAAUCAGUACCUGGCGCUGCAAGCGUAGGACUGUUGCCCGAAAAGUUCGGUGGGAAUGGGUUCAAAACUUGGCAUCAAAAGAUGCAAUUCUUUUUGACCAAUUUGAAUUUGGAUAAGUGUCUCAAAGAAGAUCCACCCAUUCUUCCAUCUGGAAACACAGAUCCCAUGGUUUUUGCCAGUGUGGAUUCGUGGAACCAUUCGGACUUUGUGUGCAAAGGUUGGAUUUUAAGCCGCUUGAUUGACCCGCUGUACGCUGUAUACUGUGAGGUGAAAACUUCCAAGCAGCUUUGGACUGCUUUGGCAAAGAAAUACAAGUCCGAGGAUGCUGGCUGUCAGAAAUAUGCUACGGCAAAAUUUCACAACUUCAAAAUGGUGGAUUCAAAACCCAUCAUGGAACAAGUUGAAGCCUUCCAAUUGAUUACGCAUGAGAUAGCGGCUGAAGGGAUGUCGAUUUGUGAAAUUUUCACGGUCAAUUCCUUCAUUGAGAAGCUCCCUCCUAGUUGGUUGGACUUCAAGAACUAUCUCACACAUAAGCGUAAGGCAAUUUCCCUCGAGGACUUGAUUGUCAAGCUGCGAGUUGAAUCCAGAAACCGUGAAGCCGAUGCUGUUCUCAUUCGCAAGAAUGAUGUAAACUUGGCUGAGCACAAGAAUAAGGGGAAAGGAAAAGUUCCUCCAAAAAGCACCACAAGCUUUAAGAAGCCAAUGGAACAUGUGAAGUUCACUGGAACUUGUCGCAAGUGUGGCAAGGUGGGCCAUAAAGCUCAUGUUUGCCGGAGCAAGGCUGGUCCAAGCUAUGACAAGGGGAAGUCUCAAGCUAAUUUGACUGAAGAUGACAUGUGUGCUGUGGUCACUGAAGUCAACAAUGUUGAGGACAACCCAAGAACUUGGUGGUAUGACACAGGUGCCACCAUUCAUGUGUGCAUUGAUAAGGACAUGUUUUCCACUUAUCAAAAAUGCAAUGGUGAGGAGCGACUCUUAAUGGGUAACACUGGCUCGUCCAAGAUUGAAGGCAAAGGUGAAGUGAAGCUUCAGAUGACCUCAGGAAAAGAGAUAACUCUUAAGAAUGUGAAGCAUGUACCAGAUAUGCGGAAGAAUCUGAUUUCCGGUUCACUUUUGAGCAAAGCUGGAUUUGCUAUAACCUUUGAUUCUGAUAAGGUUGUACUCAAGAAACAUGGGGUUUACUUGGGAAAGGGGUUUGUUCAAGGUGGACUUGUCAAAAUGUGUGUUAAGACAGUCCUACCUUAAAAAUAUGUAAGGGAUGUUUUUCAUUUGUUUUUUCCAUUUCAAUUCAAUAAAGAAUAAUGCAGUUUUUUCUUAUUUGAUUGAAUUUUUUCUACAAUUGUUUGUUCAUGGAAAAACAUUGUGUAUGAAAAAAAAAACAAAUGUAUAAAGAAAAAGAAAAACCCCCAUCGACCUCUCUUGGAGAGAAAACGAACAUUUUGAAUUAAAUCACUAUAUUUGUGUGCUUUAAAAUAUGUUCAAAAUAUGAGACUUGGAAAAUAUAAUUUCUAAGUUAAUUCAGAAAAUGUGGGGGUGAGUAAAUCUUACCACACAAGUAAUUCAGUUAAAUAAAUACUGAAAAGCUAUAACUAUAGUAUUAAGUUAUGUACUUAAAAGUUAUGGGCUGCUUCCAACAAUUGAUCUCGACUAAUAUCAAGAGAUUAUGUUCACUAUGAUGACAACCUAGGAUCCUUUUAUUAUAGGUGUGUCAUGAGAUCAAAUUGUUAUAUCAUCAAAAGGAAUGGGUCGCCUGUGAAUUAAGAUGAGGUUUCGCGGUAACUCUACCUAACUGACUGGAGAUCCCAAGAAAUAGGUUCAAGGAGACAACUAAGUGAAACUAAGUCUGCCCAAAGCACUGUAAGACUUCGGUCUAUACCCAGUUCCUAUGAUGAUUAAACAGUGCUACAUGUAAGGAAUACAGGAUAAGCAUUAGCUUUUAAUGAUUUGUGUCCAUAGCUUUGAGAUAUGAAUGGAGUAGUACAUGAUACUCCUCUAAACAAAGUUAAUGGCAAAUCACCUUGUGAGUGUGAAAUGGGGCCGUUUCUAGGAGAAUGAAGGAAAGGCUAUAUUCUCCAAGUUCACUCAUGAUUACCAGGACUGUUCACGGCCAAAAUGAACACAAUAGAGAACCUAAUCUAUGAAAAAAUGAAGCUGUGUUUUGGCUAUUGUCUAGGUUUACACCAAAGCCCGGGAGGUUCAAGACAUCAUGGCCACCUCCUGGCCGAGUAAAUCCGAUAGUUAUUAACAAUGACUGGUUCAAGGCUGAAAAAUUGCUACCAACUCAUCAUGCAGUGGAUUUUUUGUUUAUACUCUCAAUAGUUGUUUUUAUCGAGUCUUUUUGAGUCUUGUCGAGUCUUGUCUAGGUAGUCAAGUCUGUCAAGUCUAUCGAGUCGUCUAGUGUCUAGAGUCAUUUCUAUUCAUGUGGGGGAUUGUUGGAACUGUUUUUUGGACAAAUGGCUAUGGCCAAUAUUCCGGUAAAUUUUUCGAGCAAUUUGAUUGUCGAAAUGACCGGAUUGUGGAAUCGUAGGAUUCAUUGUUAUGAGCACUAUGGUAUAGUGUAAUCAUAUAUCAAAAACGAAGUUCGUUUGAAUGAGAAAUGAAAGUCUAAAAUAGAUUAUUUGUAAAAUAUCUAUAUUAGAAUUGUGAGGUAAGAAACCUCUUGUGUUUAAAAUGGAGAAGUUAUAACAAAGUUAUAAAAAAACUUUAUAGACACUUUGGUGUAUUAUAAAAAGAGAUAUUUGGGCUGGAUCAAGUUUUGGAAUUAAUCAAAUAAGAUUAAUCUUGUUAGCCCAAAUUCAUUUGCUAAUUAUUUAAAUAAAUAAUACAAGCAUAUUAUCUCUUGGUGUAGAGAAUGAUUCUCACGUUUUUGACCAAGGCUCUUCAUUACUACUUGACUAAAUCUUUGACCAAUGUCAAGUUGAUUUUGUGAAUUUAUUUUCGUAACAUAUGAAAAUCAAUCACCUCUUAAUAGUCAUUAUGAAGGAAUCAAAAACCACCAUCUCCAUUUAGUGCUCGCAGUAGCACACGUUAGACUUUAUAUUCUAUAUAAAGGUCAUGCUCUUCUCAUUCUCAUCAUAUACAUCCAAUACAAACAAAACCACUUUCUCCUACUUCUUUUGUUUUGUGUCUGAGAGUAUAACAUAGAAAUAGGUUCGACAGGCUUUGGUUCUCAAGUGCUGUGAGACUGAAGAUAUAGGCAGUUGUAUCCUGGGAUUCUUAAACGUAUCAAACCGGCACACUACGGGCGUUUAAAGGAUUAAGGAAAGAGAUCUAAUCUCGACUCUGCUUCAACCUAGUUCUUUUUCAACUUUGGUAUUAUAUUAUUAUAUUU
This 4792-nucleotide long non-coding RNA is filed under the name Brassica rapa (field mustard). RNAcentral's name for it is "long non-coding RNA (BRAP_LNC003861)". Lineage: Eukaryota; Viridiplantae; Streptophyta; Magnoliopsida; Brassicales; Brassicaceae. The record is from RNAcentral.